RNAcentral lists this small nuclear RNA (96 nucleotides) under Varanus komodoensis (Komodo dragon). The record is from RNAcentral. Lineage: Eukaryota; Metazoa; Chordata; Lepidosauria; Squamata; Varanidae.
GUGCUCACUUUGGCAGUACAUAUACUAAAAUCAGAAUGGUUAGCAUGGCCCCUGCACAAGAAUGACAUGAAAAUUAGUGAAGCAUUCCAGAUAAUC